AAAUUUAAUUGUUUUCUUAAUUUGUAUGAAUGAAGCAUGUAGCGAAAUGAGAUAUUUGGUGUGAAAUGCAUAAUCUUGUUAACCAUUAAAUCUCUGAAACUAAGUUGCGCCUCAAGCUUUCGGGCUGAGAGCACGUAUGUCUUGGUGUCA
Arabis alpina (gray rockcress) is the source of this 150-nucleotide ribosomal RNA. It matches the Rfam family "5.8S ribosomal RNA". Rfam says of the family: 5.8S ribosomal RNA (5.8S rRNA) is a component of the large subunit of the eukaryotic ribosome. It is transcribed by RNA polymerase I as part of the 45S precursor that also contains 18S and 28S rRNA. NCBI's taxonomy places the organism in Eukaryota, Viridiplantae, Streptophyta, Magnoliopsida, Brassicales, Brassicaceae. The record is from Rfam.